UACGUAGGGACCGAGCGUUGUCCGGAUUCAUUGGGCGUAAAGAGCUCGUAGGCGGCCGCUCAAGUCGAAUGUGAAACCUCGAGGCUCAACCUCGAGCCUGCAUUCGAUACUGGGCGGCUAGAGUCUGGUAGGGGGAUCUGGAAUUCCUGGUGUAGCGGUGGAAUGCGCAGAUAUCAGGAGGAACACCGGUGGCGAAGGCGGGUCUCUGGGCCGAUACUGACGCUGAGGAGCGAAAGCGUGGGGAGCAAACAGG
RNAcentral lists this ribosomal RNA (253 nucleotides) under uncultured bacterium. RNAcentral's name for it is "partial 16S ribosomal RNA". It matches the Rfam family "Bacterial small subunit ribosomal RNA", at positions 524 to 776 of the family's 1533-position model. The record is from RNAcentral.